This is a ribosomal RNA of 1637 nucleotides. It matches the Rfam family "Eukaryotic large subunit ribosomal RNA", at positions 33 to 984 of the family's 3401-position model.
UUUAAGCAUAUCACUCAGUGGAGGAAGAGCAAGCAACUGCGAUUGCUUCAGUAACGGCGAGUGAACUGGCAAUGUAUCUCGACCCGAAGUGAUUCCCGCAGACGCGUUUUGGGCGCGCGAACGGCUUUCGUGGGUUUCAGCAAAUGCUGUGGGCUGUGGAGCAGGUGGCAGCUACCUUGGUUGGCAAUUACGCCAGGAAGCGACCUGGAAUGGUCCACGAGAGAAGGAUACUGUCCUGUACACCACGUGUGCGACUGGUCAUCUGAGGUGCUGCUGCUUGCAUCCAGGAGUAGAGUGGCUUGGGACUGCAGUUUGAAGUGCGAGGUGUAUCCAUCGCAAGGAAGCAUACUGGCUCGAGACCGAUAGCGCACAAGUAGAGUGAUUGAAGGAUGCAAAGGACUUUGCAAAGAGGGUUAAAAGUCCCUGAAGCCGCGGCGGGAACGGCGGUGAGUGGUGCUGUGGCUUUGCGAUUCCAGAUGGUUUGGCUCAGCUGUUGAUGUGGGGGACAGAUCCCUGGCCACACGAUGGUCCAGGCCCCCAACAAUGGUUUGGGUGGAUCAUGCUGAUCGCUGCUGUGAGCUUGUCCGACACCAAAGCAUGGACCAGGGCAUGAUUUGACACAGCCCUGGGAUGGUGCCUCGGCCUGGCCACAGGAUGCAGAUGGAUUCCAAGCGACCUUGGGCCAGCCCACUGCUGGCUACUGAGCCUAGCUCUCCAGAGUUGGAUGCAAUCGUGGCAGUAAUGUGGUGGCAAUCAGCCUGACUGGGCCUGAGGCUUGAGCGAUCCCAAAGGGCGAAGCAAGAUUUGUUCAGACCUGUGGUACAAGGAUGUCUCAGAAUCAGCAGAGAGCCAAAGUCCCCAGUAGGGGCGAUGUUUGUGGAUGUAUUCCUGUCCUGUUUUGACGCUUGUCUACGAUGAUCACACAGCUUGUUCCUGGUGUGUCUUCGGACAUGCCAGUGCCCACGCCCGCCAUGGUGGGGUCGGUGGUCUGGUUGUGGUUGCACCACUCUGAUGGUGACCCAGCUGGGCUAUUGGCCCUCCAGUCGGUGUGUGGUGCUGAAUGCAGUGGAGCUUGGCACAGCAGUGCCAUUCCCUGCCCGUCUYGAAACACGGACCAAGGAGUCUACGGAGCUUGCAGGUUAGCAGGUCAAAACCGCAGUGCAUGGUGAAGGCAACAAACCCAGAAGGUGCUUGGAUUCCAGGGCUCAAACAAGGGCCUGUGUCGAUUACUUGUGAUGGAUUUUUGUGGAAAGUAGCUCUCGCUCUGAGUGAACGGUUGACAUGUGGGAACGGACCCCCACAAGGGAAGCCUCGAUCUGUGUCGCCAGGAGGCAAAGGAACUGUGGAAGCUUUGAAGUGUGCAGGAAGGCGCCAGGCCCGCCCAAGGCCAAGGAGAGAUUGCAGCAUGGGACACCGAUCCCAAAUCCAGUGGACAGGGUUUUGAGUGAAUGCAAGGUCCGUGGGACCCGAAAGGUGGUGAACUAUACCGUUCUAUGACGAAGCCGUGGGAAACUGCGGUGGAGGUCAGUCGCUGUUCUGACGUGCAAAUUGUGUAGCCUGAGUGUGGCAUAGGGGUGAAAGGCCAAUCGAGCCACCUAGUAGCUGGUUUCCCUCGAAGUUUCCCUCAGGGAUAGCAA